Long non-coding RNA from Lepidothrix coronata (blue-crowned manakin), 2005 nucleotides. RefSeq lists it as uncharacterized. The record is from RefSeq and is a predicted model, not a curated record. The transcript is spliced from 14 exons. Lineage: Eukaryota; Metazoa; Chordata; Aves; Passeriformes; Pipridae.
AGGUGUUGGGGGACAGGCGGAAUGAGAGGCUGUAAAGGGGGUGAAGGGCUCACCCGAAAGACCCUCUCCGGCGGAGAGGAGAGAGAGGAUCGGGGCAGCACAUGAGAUGGGCAGGAAUGAGGUUUCUGUGUUUGCGAGGCAGGGCUGAGAAGGGAAGGGAAGCAGCAAACUGCCUGGCUUAUUUCGGGUGCUGAUGACGACCAAAUCCCAAACCCUUCUCUCAGGGAAAAGUCAGUUGAAUAUCAGUGUUUCUUCCGAGGCUGGGCUGUGGUUUGAGACUUAAGAACAGGUUGCAACUACUCCCCGCUGUAGCGAGCAACAAAUGUCUCGAUUUGUUCUUGCUUUGGAAAGAAUAUUUGCUGACCAUCAAAAUGCAACAGUUGCUGCUUGUUUUGACCUUUUCUGUGGGGCAUGCUUCUUGCUUUUGAGAGUCCUGAAGUCACAAACUACCUGGCUGUGUCUUUGCAGGAGGCCAGUUUUACUUGGCAGGAGAAGGUUAUAGUUAAUAUCGGAAUGGUUAUCCUGACUACUGUCAGUGGCCUAGGAGAUGCCUGGAAGAUGGUGAGUGCAUGGUGAUUCCUUCCUGGGAAGAUCUCCUUGUUCCAGGGAUGAGAGAUACCAGGAGGCCCUGAACCACACGGUGGCUGAAAUAUUUCACAGGUGUAAGAUGUGAUUCUUCAUUCCAGGAAACCCUAAAAGGAUGUUCCUUUGCAUGGAAAAAGGCGAAGAAACAGUGAAAAAGGAGAAGUCCACACUGGGAGAAAAACUAUUUUGUAUAGCAUAAUAACCUUGUCAGGAAACAGAAAACAAAGUCCUGCCCUAUCUCAAGCUGUGGAAAACUUGAACUCACAAGAAACAAUAAGCUCAAACCGUAUAAGAGAAAGUGACUCAAACUUUUGAUAUUAAAAAAGAGGAUCUGUAAUUCUGAAGUGAUUUUCAAAUCUGCAUUUAGGACCGCUCAUCCAAGAUAAUGUGGAUUUUCCCAGCCAUUUGGAAGGUGGUAUAGUGUGAUCAUGCUAAGGAAUUCAUGCUGGAUUAAAAAUGUCUCCAAAGAAGCUGCCCCAUAUGAACUUCUAAUGGAUAUGUGGAGAGCAAUGUGUUCCUUGCAUGCUCUGUGGAAAAGCCUGUCAAAACUGUAGAUAUGAGAGAUUAAUUGAGGAAAGGUUUUGAGGGAAAGCACAGUGGUCAACUCCAACAGCUACAGAGUGGCUCAAAAAUUUGAAUCAAAUUCUCCAAAUUUGAUUCAGACUUCAGAAUGGUCCCGAGACCAAGGAAUAUAGGAAAUGAGUGAAAACACAGAAAUAUUGGAAGGCCAAAAAGGCAAGAAGGAUUCAUGGAGAAACUCAGGUGUCUCUGAUAUCAAGAUUAACAAUGAGAUUUGUCCUGCUGCUUCUCAGACCUGUUGGAAGUGUACUGAAUAAUUUGCUGGCAGUCUCUGAUACAAUAUAUGCAAUCAUCUGUAGAUACCUCCUUAGUGAUGCAACUAGAGAGGAGGCUCACUGGCUGUUUCAGAGUAACGAGAGGAUAAAUUCAAUACUGAUCUUCUAUCCACACAAUGACACCUUCGAGGGUCUGAGAGGAAGUUCCAGUCAAAUCCACAUGCAUUAAGAGUCUGUAUCAUGAAUGUUCUGCUUGGGCUGCCCUGAUGCCCUGAUUUAAACCUGUUCAAGCAGGCAAAAUGGCAAGACUUGGGAGGCUCAUCUUCAAAUACAUGUAUUUUUGAACCCCACAUUUUCAGAGAUUGUGCAGCGUUGUGUCCGUGAACUUCCAGAGUUUGCAUUAAAAAGUGACAGAACAUCAGAGUGCCAGAAGCUUCUCAUAUUGUGGCCCUGAAGGUUCGAGUCUGGAGAUGAUGAAGAUCUCACCCAAUGCCAACAAGAAUGCUGCUUCCACUCGAAAAAAGCAAAUUGCUAUUUUGGUUAGAACUGGAGACUUCAAAAAUGCCACUCCUGAGCCCCAAGGUGAGAGGUGGAGAAAAGAACAGCAGAGCAGUGUGAACACGAGA